AUUGAACGCUGGCGGCAGGCCUAACACAUGCAAGUCGAGCGGAUGAAGGGAGCUUGCUCCUGGAUUCAGCGGCGGACGGGUGAGUAAUGCCUAGGAAUCUGCCUGGUCGUGGGGGAUAACGUCCGGAAACGGGCGCUUAUACCGCAUACGUCCUGAGGGAGAAAGUGGGGGAUCUUCGGACCUCACGCUAUCAGAUGAGCCUAGGUCGGAUUAGCUAGUUGGUGGGGUAAAGGCCUACCAAGGCGACGAUCCGUAACUGGUCUGAGAGGAUGACCAGUCACACUGGAACUGAGACACGGUCCAGACUCCUACGGGAGGCAGCAGUGGGGAAUAUUGGACAAUGGGCGAAAGCCUGAUCCAGCCAUGCCGCGUGUGUGAAGAAGGUCUUCGGAUUGUAAAGCACUUUAAGUUGGGAGGAAGGGCAGUAAGUUAAUACCUUGCUGUUUUGACGUUACCAACAGAAUAAGCACCGGCUAACUUCGUG
RNAcentral lists this ribosomal RNA (484 nucleotides) under uncultured bacterium. RNAcentral describes it as "partial 16S ribosomal RNA". It matches the Rfam family "Bacterial small subunit ribosomal RNA", at positions 30 to 507 of the family's 1533-position model. The record is from RNAcentral.